This 25-nucleotide ribosomal RNA is filed under the name Nephroma arcticum. RNAcentral describes it as "partial small subunit ribosomal RNA". Lineage: Eukaryota; Fungi; Ascomycota; Lecanoromycetes; Peltigerales; Nephromataceae. The record is from RNAcentral.
UCUUGGUCAUUUAGAGGAAGUAAAA